RNAcentral lists this ribosomal RNA (467 nucleotides) under uncultured bacterium. RNAcentral's name for it is "partial 16S ribosomal RNA". It matches the Rfam family "Bacterial small subunit ribosomal RNA", at positions 28 to 507 of the family's 1533-position model. The record is from RNAcentral.
GACGAACGCUGGCGGCGUGCUUAACACAUGCAAGUCGAACGGAAAGGCCUCUUUCGGGGGGUACUCGAGUGGCGAACGGGUGAGUAACACGUGAGUAACCUGCCCUUGACUUUGGGAUAACUUCAGGAAACUGGGGCUAAUACCGGAUAGGAGCUCCUGCUGCAUGGUGGGGGUUGGAAAGUUUCGGCGGUUGGGGAUGGACUCGCGGCUUAUCAGCUUGUUGGUGGGGUAGUGGCUUACCAAGGCUUUGACGGGUAGCCGUCCUGAGAGGGUGACCGGCCACAUUGGGACUGAGAUACGGCCCAGACUCCUACGGGAGGCAGCAGUGGGGAAUAUUGCACAAUGGGUGGAAGCCUGAUGCAGCAACGCCGUGUGCGGGAUGACGGCCUUCGGGUUGUAAACCGCUUUCGCUCAUGACGAAGCUUUGUGUGACGGUAGUGGGUAAAGAAGCACCGGCUAACUACGUG